UACGAAGGGUGCAAGCGUUACUCGGAAUUACUGGGCGUAAAGCGUGCGUAGGUGGUUCGUUAAGUCUGAUGUGAAAGCCCUGGGCUCAACCUGGGAAUGGCAUUGGAAACUGGCGAUCUAGAGUGCGGUAGAGGGUAGUGGAAUUCCCGGUGUAGCAGUGAAAUGCGUAGAGAUCGGGAGGAACAUCUGUGGCGAAGGCGACUGCCUGGACCAGCACUGACACUGAGGCACGAAAGCGUGGGGAGCGAACAGG
RNAcentral lists this ribosomal RNA (253 nucleotides) under uncultured bacterium. RNAcentral's name for it is "partial 16S ribosomal RNA". It matches the Rfam family "Bacterial small subunit ribosomal RNA", at positions 524 to 776 of the family's 1533-position model. The record is from RNAcentral.